This 484-nucleotide ribosomal RNA is filed under the name uncultured bacterium. RNAcentral describes it as "partial 16S ribosomal RNA". It matches the Rfam family "Bacterial small subunit ribosomal RNA", at positions 28 to 523 of the family's 1533-position model. The record is from RNAcentral.
GAUGAACGCUGGCGGCGUGCUUAACACAUGCAAGUCGAACGGUGAAGCAGGAGCUUGCUCUUGUGGAUCAGUGGCGAACGGGUGAGUAACACGUGAGCAACCUGCCCCUGACUCUGGGAUAAGCGCUGGAAACGGCGUCUAAUACUGGAUAUGUGAUGUGACCGCAUGGUCUGCAUCUGGAAAGAAUUUCGGUUGGGGAUGGGCUCGCGGCCUAUCAGCUUGUUGGUGAGGUAAUGACUCACCAAGGCGUCGACGGGUAGCCGGCCUGAGAGGGGAACCGGCCACACUGGGACUGAGACACGGCCCAGACUCCUACGGGAGGCAGCAGUGGGGAAUAUUGCACAAUGGGCGGAAGCCUGAUGCAGCAACGCCGCGUGAGGGAUGGCGGCCUUCGGGUUGUAAACCUCUUUUAGCAGGGAAGAAGCGAAAGUGACGGUACCUGCAGAAAAAGCACCGGCUAACUACGUGCCAGCCGCCGCCGUAA